AGCGAACGCUGGCGGAAUGCUUAACACAUGCAAGUCGCACGCCCUGCAAGGGGAGUGGCGGACGGGUGAGUAACGCGUAGGAAUAUGUCCAGAGGUGGGGGACAACCCCGGGAAACUGGG
RNAcentral lists this ribosomal RNA (120 nucleotides) under uncultured bacterium. RNAcentral's name for it is "partial 16S ribosomal RNA". It matches the Rfam family "Bacterial small subunit ribosomal RNA", at positions 29 to 161 of the family's 1533-position model. The record is from RNAcentral.